Molecule: ribosomal RNA, 954 nt
Filed under: uncultured organism
Description: bacterial SSU rRNA
Rfam family: Bacterial small subunit ribosomal RNA
Source: RNAcentral
GGCAGCAGUGAGGAAUAUUGGUCAAUGGGCGAAAGCCUGAACCAGCCAUGCCGCGUGAAGGAUGACGGCCCUAUGGGUUGUAAACUUCUUUUAUACGGGAAGAAACCGUCCUACGUGUAGGGCGUUGACGGUACCGUACGAAUAAGCAUCGGCUAACUCCGUGCCAGCAGCCGCGGUAAUACGGAGGAUGCAAGCGUUAUCCGGAUUUAUUGGGUUUAAAGGGUGCGUAGGCGGAAAUUUAAGUCAGUGAUGAAAUCCUGCGGCUCAACCGUAGAACUGUUAUUGAUACAGAAUUUCUUGAAUACAGUUGAGGUAGGCGGAAUGAGUAAUGUAGCGGUGAAAUGCUUAGAUAUUACUCAGAACACCGAUUGCGAAGGCAGCUUACUAAACUGAUAUUGACGCUGAGGCACGAAAGCGUGGGGAGCGAACAGGAUUAGAUACCCUGGUAGUCCACGCCGUAAACGAUGAUCACUCGUUGUUGGCAAUACACCGUCAGCGACUGAGCGAAAGCAUUAAGUGAUCCACCUGGGGAGUACGAUCGCAAGAUUGAAACUCAAAGGAAUUGACGGGGGCCCGCACAAGCGGAGGAACAUGUGGUUUAAUUCGAUGAUACGCGAGGAACCUUACCUGGGCUUAAAUGUAGAGCGACGGACCGGGAAACUGGUCUUUCUUCGGACGAUCUACAAGGUGCUGCAUGGCUGUCGUCAGCUCGUGCCGUGAGGUGUCGGGUUAAGUCCCAUAACGAGCGCAACCCUCAUCAUUAGUUGCCAGCGGGUAAUGCCGGGGACUCUAAUGAAACUGCCGGUGUAAACCGAGAGGAAGGUGGGGAUGACGUCAAGUCAGCACGGCCCUUAUGUCCAGGGCUACACACGUGUUACAAUGGUCAGUACAAAGGGCAGCUACCAUGCGAAUGGAUGCUAAUCUCGAAAACUGGUCUCAGUUCGGAUCGGAGUC